CCUACGGGGGGCUGCAGUAAGGAAUAUUGGUCAAUGGGCGCAAGCCUGAACCAGCCAUGCCGCGUGCAGGAAGACGGCCCUAUGGGUUGUAAACUGCUUUUAUACGGGAAUAAACCCCACUACGUGUAGUGGGCUGAAUGUACUGUAAGAAUAAGGAUCGGCUAACUCCGUGCCAGCAGCCGCGGUAAUACGGAGGAUCCAAGCGUUAUCCGGAUUUAUUGGGUUUAAAGGGUGCGUAGGCGGCUUAUUAAGUCAGGGGUGAAAGACGGUGGCUC
This 275-nucleotide ribosomal RNA is filed under the name uncultured bacterium. RNAcentral describes it as "partial 16S ribosomal RNA". It matches the Rfam family "Bacterial small subunit ribosomal RNA", at positions 338 to 610 of the family's 1533-position model. The record is from RNAcentral.